Molecule: ribosomal RNA, 1010 nt
Filed under: Rana cascadae
Lineage: Eukaryota; Metazoa; Chordata; Amphibia; Anura; Ranidae
Description: partial 16S ribosomal RNA
Rfam family: Bacterial large subunit ribosomal RNA (bases 166-1010)
Source: RNAcentral
GCCUAAAAUCUAGCCCGCACACUCGCAUGACUUCUCUCACCCAUCGUACCCAAACAAAACAUUUUAACAUUUUAGUACAGGCGAUCGAAAAAUUUCUAAGCGCUUCAGAUAAAGUACCGCAAGGGAAAAAUGAAAUAGAAAUGAAAUAACCCUAAAGCCCCAGACAGCAGAGAUUUUACCUCGUACCUUUUGCAUCAUGGUCUAGCCAGUCUACCCAAGCAAAAUGAAACUUUCAGUUUGACACCCCGAAACUAAGCGAGCUACUUCAGAACAGCCUAAUGGGCCAACCCGUCUCUGUUGCAAAAGAGUGGGAAGAUUCUCAAGUAGAGGUGAUAAGCCUACCGAGCUUAGAGAUAGCUGGUUGUUCAGAAAAAGAGUUUUAGCUCUACCUUAAGCUUCCUCAUUACACUAAGCAAACCCCUAAGCUUAAGAGCCAUUCAAAUAAGGCACAGCUUAUUUGAAACAGGGCACAACCUACAACACAGGGUAAACAAGAGUAAACUAAGCAAAGUGGGCCCAAAAGCAGCCACCUUUAGAAAAGCGUUAAAGCUUAACUAUCCUCUACUCAUAAUUCCUCUAACCCCCUCUAACCCUUCAUUAUUACUGAACAAUUUUAUAUCCCUAUAAAAGCUAUUAUGCUAGAACUAGUAACAAGAAAUUGCUUUUCUCCUAAAUGUAAACGUAAACCAAGAUAGACCAUCUGUUGGUUAUCAACGCAAAUGCCAAAAUCAUAACAACACUUACUAGAAAACCCUAUGACUCCCAGCGUUAACCUUACACUAGAACAUUUCAGGAAAGAUUAAAAGAAAAAGAAGGAACUCGGCAAAUCUUAGCCUCGCCUGUUUACCAAAAACAUCGCCUCUUGACAAACAUAAGAGGUCCAGCCUGCCCAGUGACAAAGUUCAACGGCCGCGGUACCCUAACCGUGCGAAGGUAGCAUAAUCACUUGUUCUUUAAAUGAGGACUCGUAUCAACGGCACUACGAGGGCUAUACUGUCUCCCUUUUCCAA